This 292-nucleotide ribosomal RNA is filed under the name uncultured prokaryote. RNAcentral's name for it is "partial 16S ribosomal RNA". It matches the Rfam family "Bacterial small subunit ribosomal RNA", at positions 505 to 796 of the family's 1533-position model. The record is from RNAcentral.
GUGUCAGCCGCCGCGGUAAUACGGAGGGUGCAAGCGUUAAUCGGAAUUACUGGGCGUAAAGCGUACGUAGGCGGCGUGUUAAGCAAGAUGUGAAAGCCCCGGGCUCAACCUGGGAAUUGCAUUUUGAACUGGCAUGCUAGAGUCCUGAAGAGGGUGGUAGAAUUUCCAGUGUAGCGGUGAAAUGCGUAGAUAUUGGAAGGAAUACCGGUGGCGAAGGCGGCCACCUGGUCAGAGACUGACGCUGAGGUACGAAAGCGUGGGGAGCAAACAGGAUUAGAUACCCCUGUAGUCC